UUUCCCUCAGGAUAGCUGGCACUCGCUUGAGCGAGUCUCAUCUGGUAAAGCGAAUGAUUAGAGGCCUUGGGGCCGAAACGACCUCAACCUAUUCUCAAACUUUAAAUGGGUGAGAUCUCUGGCUUGCUUGAACGUUGAAGCCACGAGAUUAAUUUGUUGGAUCAGAGUGCCAAGUGGGCCAAUUUUGGUAAGCAGAACUGGCGCUGUGGGA
Molecule: ribosomal RNA, 211 nt
Filed under: Anastatus sp. D2271
Lineage: Eukaryota; Metazoa; Arthropoda; Insecta; Hymenoptera; Eupelmidae
Description: partial 28S ribosomal RNA
Rfam family: Eukaryotic large subunit ribosomal RNA
Source: RNAcentral